Molecule: RNA transcript, 190 nt
Organism: Arabidopsis thaliana (thale cress)
Lineage: Eukaryota; Viridiplantae; Streptophyta; Magnoliopsida; Brassicales; Brassicaceae
Exons: 3
Source: RefSeq
ACGAAAUCAGGCGAUUUGAAUCGAUUUGAUAAGAAACUAUGGUGUAUCGGUCAUAAAAUUGGGAGACAGUCUCUUUGCUCCAAUCUCUUUCUCAUGUUGCUACGGUUUGAUGAUGAGGAUGUGGAAGAGAGCUAUGUAAGGUCUGAGGGAAAGAUAUGACGAUGUUGAAUCACAUAUGAGGCUCCUAUGU